Small nucleolar RNA from Malania oleifera, 98 nucleotides. RefSeq annotates it as small nucleolar RNA snoR109. Lineage: Eukaryota; Viridiplantae; Streptophyta; Magnoliopsida; Santalales; Ximeniaceae. The record is from RefSeq and is a predicted model, not a curated record. The transcript has a single exon.
CGGUUGUAGCUAAAUAAAUGUCGCGAAGUUAACUGGCCGAUUGUCAUGAGAUCUUGCGAUCUCCGUCGACGAAUCCGCCUUUUGAUUUGUUCACACUU